This 74-nucleotide transfer RNA is filed under the name Thermoflexales bacterium. RNAcentral describes it as "tRNA-Val". It matches the Rfam family "tRNA". Rfam says of the family: Transfer RNA (tRNA) molecules are approximately 80 nucleotides in length. Their secondary structure includes four short double-helical elements and three loops (D, anti-codon, and T loops). Further hydrogen bonds mediate the characteristic L-shaped molecular structure. tRNAs have two regions of fundamental functional importance: the anti-codon, which is responsible for specific mRNA codon recognition, and the 3' end, to which the tRNAs corresponding amino acid is attached (by aminoacyl-tRNA synthetases). tRNAs cope with the degeneracy of the genetic code in two manners: having more than one tRNA (with a specific anti-codon) for a particular amino acid; and 'wobble' base-pairing, i.e. permitting non-standard base-pairing at the 3rd anti-codon position. Lineage: Bacteria; Bacillati; Chloroflexota; Thermoflexia; Thermoflexales. The record is from RNAcentral.
GGGCGAUUAGCUCAGUUGGUUAGAGCGCCUCUCUUACAAAGAGGAGGUCGUAGGUUCGAGCCCUAUAUCGCCCA